Capsicum annuum is the source of this 474-nucleotide long non-coding RNA. RefSeq lists it as uncharacterized. The transcript has 2 exons. NCBI's taxonomy places the organism in Eukaryota, Viridiplantae, Streptophyta, Magnoliopsida, Solanales, Solanaceae. The record is from RefSeq and is a predicted model, not a curated record.
AAAAAAAAAAGAAUAAAUAAAAGACUAGCCAAAAAAAAUAACUGGCCCUCAUUGGACUUCACACCAAAAAUUUUGAGUUGAAUUUGGGGUCACCAAAAAGGAAACUGAAGAGGCGUGUCUACAUUUCACCAGAUCCCUAGACUCCAAUGAUAUUUUUCAUCACCUUCAUGUGUUUUUUUCCUUUUCCUAGGUGCACUUUGGUGUAUAUGUGGGGACUUCAAUGCCCCACUAUCAACUACUGAUAGAACUGGAGGGCAAGCGGCAGCAGAUUGAAAGACCAAUGAUUUUCAACAUGCGAUAAAUAUUCUUACGUUGAUUGAUCCAAAGUCUAUAGGUAGGCUUCUUGCUUGGACAAAUGGACAUGUAUAGAUUAGGAUUGAUCGGGCUUUAUGUAAUGACAAUUGGGAGGUAAACUAUGGAGGCAUCAGUGCCCGUUUCCUUGAAAAUCAUUUGUUUGAUCGCUCUUAUAAAACA